RNAcentral lists this ribosomal RNA (497 nucleotides) under uncultured bacterium. RNAcentral's name for it is "partial 16S ribosomal RNA". It matches the Rfam family "Bacterial small subunit ribosomal RNA", at positions 28 to 507 of the family's 1533-position model. The record is from RNAcentral.
GAUGAACGCUGGCGGCGUGCCUAAUACAUGCAAGUCGAGCGAACGGACGAGAAGCUUGCUUCUCUGAUGUUAGCGGCGGACGGGUGAGUAACACGUGGAUAACCUACCUAUAAGACUGGGAUAACUUCGGGAAACCGGAGCUAAUACCGGAUAAUAUUUUGAACCGCAUGGUUCAAAAGUGAAAGACGGUCUUGCUGUCACUUAUAGAUGGAUCCGCGCUGCAUUAGCUAGUUGGUAAGGUAACGGCUUACCAAGGCAACGAUGCAUAGCCGACCUGAGAGCGUGAUCGGCCACACUGGCACUGAGACACGUUCCAGACUCCUACGGGAGGCAGCAGUAGGGAAUCUUCCGCAAUGGGCGAAAGCCUGACGGAGCAACGCCGCGUGAGUGAUGAAGGUCUUCGGAUCGUAAAACUCUGUUAUUAGGGAAGAACAAAUGUGUAAGUAACUGUGCACAUCUUGACGGUACCUAAUCAGAAAGCCACGGCUAACUACGUG